Molecule: RNA transcript, 8403 nt
Organism: Nerophis ophidion (straightnose pipefish)
Lineage: Eukaryota; Metazoa; Chordata; Actinopteri; Syngnathiformes; Syngnathidae
Exons: 2
Source: RefSeq, a predicted model, not a curated record
ACAUAUAGAGGUAUAUGUAUAUAUAUAUAUAUAUAUACAUAUAUGAUGUAUAUAUCUCCGAUGAAGUGGCGACUUGUCCAGGAUGUACCCGGCCCUCCGCCCGAAUGCAGCUGGGAUGGGGAUCCAGCAACCCCCGGGAAAAGUGGUAGAAAUCAAUAAAUGUAUAUAUAUUGUAUACAUAUGUCCAUCCAUUUUCUACCUCUUGUCACAUAUAUAAAAUGAAAAAAAAAUAUGAAUAUAUCUUUACCUUACUUUUAACAUGAGUGACUUAUGACCUUUAAAAAAAGUCUAUAAAUAUUUCACCAGACUAAAAGUGUGGACAAUAUUGCCAUCAGAAGAGAAAUAGUACUUAAGUCCCUCCAAUAUUUAUAGUACAUACUGGAGCAUUUUUUUUAACGAUUAGAAUAUUUGGUCUCGUUUCCGCAAUCAUUUCGUUUUUUGUAAAAAGACUCUCUGGACUGUGCUAUAUAGUGUAGUGUGUGUGUGUGUGUGUCCCAAUUCCACAGGGACAGUCAUGACCCAGGUUCUAUGGUCAGGAAAAAACCGGCCAAUCAGAGAAGAACCACUCCCAGUGUUUCCUGUGCUGUAUGGAAGUUUUCCCGCAGAAGUCAGAGCACGGAUGUCAGAGGAAUGUCACAAAGCUUGUAGCUGAAAGUCAAACAUUCUUAUUUAUUUACACAAUGGCAAUGAAGCCUGGAGGCCUUUUGCCAAAAUGUAAAAAUACAGAUUUUGGGAUUCAAAGGUUUGUUUUUUUUGCAACUUCCCUUUAUUUGUUCCCAGAUUGAAAUUAUUUUUCUUUUAGCAUGAAAAAAAGCCAUUAUCAGACACUCAUUUAGUCAUUUAUUCAAUAACCAUCAUUUCCAACAAAAGCAAAAACCUCAUAGAAAUACAUUUAUUCAUUCAUUUUCCACUAUUCAACAACAAUUAAAGCAAGUUGCUUUUUAAAGAAAUUAAGUACCAGAUGAGAGUCAGUGUAUUCAACGUGACUUUUGCUCCCAAGUUGAAUUCCCGAGCAAGGCAGAGCAAACAUUCCCACUCCCGGCCACCAGGGGGAAGAUGCCGAGAGUGUAGGAUGUUUACACUUCCUGCGACUCAGUGGUCCAUCAUUUGAUGGAUGUGAGGGUGAGUUAGUUUACAAUAUGUCACUGCUUCCUUCCUUCUCUUCUUCCUUCGAGUCUUUGGUCCUGUGCUGUGCUGUGUUACACACACACGCACACACACAAACGCACGCACACAUCCUCUCAGCCCAGCUGAAGAAUGAAGACAUUUAUUACAAAAACGUCAGCACUGGCUUUUUUCAUGUGACAUCUCAGAGUAUCGAAGCUCCUCUCAGCCACCGUCUUCACUUUGUUUGUAAUUUGACUUUAGAUCAUUAUUUUGCUGACUUUGUAUAAUUUCUGUCAAAUAAUUUAACACGUUUUUAUCAUGAAUUGAGCAAUACAUGUUGUAUAAAGAGUAAGAGUGUGUAUUUAAAUGCGCAGCAUAUAUUGAGGAAUGUGCCACUGCUAAAAACAUGCUUGUUGUUUUUAUUUAGUGAAUAUUUAUCCCCGGUAACUAAUGAUGUUUGUUGGUUGAGUGGCAAAGGUUGAUGAUGUCUAUGUAAGAUGUGGACUAAAACUAGGACACAAAAGCAGACUGUGUUAAUACAAGUUUGAGAAACGGUAAAAGCAAAGUUGUUAAAAAGUACAUCGACGAAGACAAAUACUGACAACCGUGUCUAAAAUAAUUUAUUGUUAGUCCAUUAAUUUUAAAUGUAGCACCUUUUACUACAUAUUUUGUAUAUCUUAAUUCACUCUUCAGUGUUUGUCAUUUUACAUUUGUUACCUUUUUUUUUUACAUAUUCCUGACUUAUUUCCUAUUCAUAUUAAAGAUGGCAACAUGUUACAUACAAGAAGCAGUCUAACUAUAUCAGUCAAACUUUUAAAUACAAUUAAAGCUGCAGUAUGCCACUACUUAAGAUGACUAUUUGCAACAAAAAAAAAAAAAACAACGUCGGCCUGCAUGUGUUACUAAUUAUAGUUUAAAAGAACAGAUUUAAAGGAUCUAUGAUGAAGUUGAUCUUUUCUGACUUAUAAAUAAUGUUACAAUGUUAGAAACACGUGUUAAAGGCCUACUGAAACCCAGGACUACCGACCACGCACGCAGUCUGAUAGUUUGUAUAUCAAAGAUGAAAUAUUAACAUUGCAACACAUGCCAAUACGGCCGGUUUAGUUGACUAAAUUGCAAUUUUAAAUUUCCCGCGAAGUUUCUUGUUGUAAACGUCGCGGAAUGAUGACGCGUGCGCGUGACGUCACGGACUGUCAGGAAAUAUUAGCGCACCACCAUUUGCGGCUAAAAGUCGUCUCUUUUCAUCGCCCAAUUAAACAGUAUUCUGGACAUCUGUGUUGCUGAAUCUUUUGCUAUUUGUUCAAUUAAUAAUGGAGACUAUAAAGAACAAUGCUGUUGGUGGAAAGCGGUGUAUUGCAGCUGUCUUUGGCACCGAGACAGACGGUGUUUCUUUGUUUUUAACACAGAGCGGUCAAGCGAACAUGUUUCUCUACGUCAACCAGCAUGUUUUUGGAUGGGAAAAUUGUGAUAUAUAUCUUACUGGAAACAUUAUUGGAUUAAUAGUCCUUCUGCAGUUGCUGUUUAAAAGGCAGCUGUGAGCUUGGCUCCUCGGCUUCUAUCUGAGAUACUGCGUGUUCACCGCAGCCAUCCGACCUCGAGGUAUGUCUUUACAAUCUCACUAAAACACUAUCAAAACAAUAAGCAGAUCAGGGACCUUCCAGAAUUAUCCUAGUAACUGUGUCUAAUUACGUCUGAAACGCUCAUACUGCUUCCGCCACCGUUGCUUUUUAUUUUAUUAUUAUUUUUCUAGUCCUUCGCUAUCAAUAUCAUCAUCCACAAAUCUUUCAUCCUUGCUCAAAUUAAUGGGGAAAUUGUUGUUUUCUCGUUCUGAAUAGCUCUUGCCGCUGUGGACUCCCAUUAUAAACACUGUGAGGAUGUGAGGAGCCCUCUCACCGGUGAUGUCAUCGUCUGCUACUUCCGGUAAAGGCGAGGUUUUUUUGUCAGCACCAAAAGUUGCAAACUUUAUCGUCGAUGUUCUCUACUAAAUCCUUUCAGCAAUAAUAUGGCAAAAUCGCAAAAUGAUCAAGUAUGACACAUAGAAUGGACUUGCUAUCCCCGUUUAAAUAAGAAAAUCUCAUUUCAGUAGGCCUUUAAAGCUGAAUUUCUCCCAGGGAUCAAUAAAGUACUUUCUAUUCUAUUCUAAACAAUGCCAAGGUGUCAAGUCAUAAGGUUCAUGCAUUUUUCCGUGAGCUUACACAGUUUUGGAUACCUCUUUUUGCGUGUAAUUGCAAUCUGGAUACGUUGUGACGGCACAGCGAGGUGGACGUACUUAUUUGGACAUUAAGUCAAGCUGUCAGCCAGAGGGGGAAGUGCACUGUAUGAAGUCAGGUGUAUUUGAAGAAAAGGUAAAAUAAAGUACUACUUUCAUCUAAUCUUGGCAUGCACAUCAUAACACAGAGGGUGAACUAGUUUUUUUGCAGGUGUACCUAAUGUGACUAGGUGAAUCUACAUCCAUCCAAGUUUCUACCGCUUAUUACCUUUGGGGUCGCGGGGGGUGCUGGUGCCUAUCUCAGCUACAUAUUGAAGUUUAUUUCUGACCACGUAUGUGAAAAAUGGUAUAUUAUUAUGUGGAGGGAGGUUGUGAUUAGCACACCGCAGGUAGGAAGAUCAGCGACCCCGUCUGGGUGGCUGGAGACAGCGCACCCUCAGACGGGGGCGUGGCAUGGGCAGGACGGCGAGACGCAGCUGGCAGUUGAUUAGAUGUCGCAGGUGGUACGCGCUGUUCUAAUUAACUGUUGUCUUUAACAGUAAACGGCCAGCGGAGGAGAAGGGGGCUGCUGUUGGUGAGACUGAAAAAGUCAAGCAGAAAAGCGUGAUCCUGAGCAAAAUUGAAAAAUUAAAACUACUGUCACACCCGAACCACUGGCGUCCAGCGUGCAUCUGUGGGAACUGUGAGUAAGAAGCUUACAAUUGGCGCCCAACAAAAACAAAAGCUGCGAUGUCGUCACCAAGCCCCAUAGAGGCGCUGGGACAGUUGCUGGCAGAAGUGUCUACCGCAGAUGGACGCGAUGCAAAGCCAAGUUGCGCAGCAGAGUCAGAUUCUGCAGGCGCUGACGGACAGGACCGGAGCGGGGACACACACAACAGCGAGGCCGGCUUUGACAGCAGUGGGGAUGCACAGGAUGGCGGAAACCGAAGAUCCACAUAGUUUCCUGGACAUGUUCGAGGCCACAGCCAAGUCAUGCGGAUGGCCGGAAGAAGAGUGGGCGGUGCGGCUGCUGCCGUUGCUGGCGGGAGAGGCGCAGCGAGCGGCGCUCAGCCUGCCACCAGCGUCCCGGGUGAGCUACAGGGACAUGAGGAGGGCGGUGUUGGACCGGACAAGAGGAACCAAAGAAGACCAUAGACGGAAGUUUCGAAGCAGGAAACUAGGACAAGAUGAGCGGCCUUUCGUCCAGGGGCAACAAUUAAGAGAUGCGGCAACCAGAUGGCUACAACCCGGAAGCACCGAAGAGGUGAUCGAACAAAUAAUAUUGGAGCAAUUCCUGGAGGCAAUCCCGGCGCGGACAUCGGCAUGGGUCCGCUACCACCGGCCACAAGAGGUAGCAGCGGCGGUAGCCUUGGCGGAGGACCACCUGGCGGUACAGCGGGAGAAGGUUGCAGGAGGAGCGGAGCGGCCAGUACCGGCGCCGCGCAGAAUGCGGCCACCACCAGAGGGAACAGGCCACGAAACAUAAAUUUGCUUUCUCCUCCGCAGGGACAGACCGCUGCAGACACUGCGUCUCCCCCGCAAACAGCGGCUCGAAUGCCGGGGCAGGUGUGUUGGAGGUGCCGACGACUGGGUCACCUGCAACGGGAGUGUCCAGCGAUGGAAGUGGGGAAGGUGAUCCGGGUGGACGACCCUCCGGCAUCCUCCCCUGGUCCGGGAGAGACAUACUAUGUACCGGUAAGGAUACAAGGGAGUAUACACCGGGCGAUGGUGGAUUCGGGCUGUGAACAAUCCAUGAUUCACCAAAACCUGGUUCGACCCGGGGUAUUGAGUAAGGUUACACGGGUGCGGGUUAAAUGUGUGCAUGGGGAUAUUCACACGUAUCCCGUUGUGCCGGUGGAAAUUUUUUUCAGGGGUGAAAAACAUAAUGUUAAGGCUGCUGUAAGUUCGCGCCUUGCGCACCCCUUAAUCUUGGGAACAAAUUGGUCGGGAUUUAAGGGGUUAAUGAAGCAAUGUGCAGGUGUGCGUUCACGGACGGUAGGGAAAGGGGAUACCCGUGCUGUUCUCAUCGGCGACGCGAGUUUAUUCGAUGCUGCCGAGGGGGAGGGGGAGGGAGAAGGGGGGCCGGCGGGGACUUCCCAGGAGGUUUCCCCGGUGCCCCGAUGGCGCCCCACGGAUGAUUUUCCACUCGAGCAGUCUCGAGAUGACACUUUGCGCGAGACCUGGGACAAAGUGAUUGCAAUUGAUGGGCAGCGGGUUCGCCUGGGAAUAACGCGGGACUUCCCUCAUUUUGUAUUGAUUAGGGACAGACUAUACAGAGUGAGCCGUGACACUCAGACAGGGGAGGAAAUUACCCAAUUGUUGGUACCAAAAAGCCGUCGGGAAAUGAUUUUCCAGGCGGCUCAUUUUAACCCAAUGGCUGGACACAUGGGCUAUGAUAAAACACUUAAUUGGAUAAUUUCUAUUGGCCAGGCAUUCGGGCAGACGUGCGCCGGUGGUGCGCGGCAUGCCCGGAAUGUCAACUAGUCAACCCCACGGCCACCCCUAGAGCACCUUUGAGGCCAUUACCACUCAUAGAGGUCCCAUUUGAGCGAAUUGGCAUGGACCUUGUCGGGCCAUUUCACCCGAGCUUCCAGGGAUAUCGCUUUGCACUAGUCCUGGUGCAUUAUGCAACGCGCUAUCCCGAAGCAGUGCCACUGCGCUCCAUCUCUGCAAAGAGUGUAGCACAGGCACUAUUUCAAAUUAUCUCCCGAGUUGGAAUCCCGAAAGAGAUUCUAACUGACCAAGGCACGUCCUUUAUGUCACGCACGUUAAAGGAACUGUACGGUUUAUUGGGGAUCAAGUCUAUUUGGACUAGCGUUUACCACCCACAGACAGAUGAGUUGGUGGAGCGGAUGAAUAGAACUUUGAAAUCCAUGAUCCGGAAGUUCGUACACGAGGACAAACCAAAUUGGCAUAAAUGGUUGGAUCCCCUGUUAUUUGCAGUGCGGGAGGUUCCCCAGGCCUCAACAAGAUUUUCUCCAUUUGAGUUAUUGUUCGGCAGGAAGCCGAGGGGGGUACUAGACCUGGUUAAAGAAAGCUGGGAGGAAGGUCCAAGCCCCAGUAAAAAUGAAAUUCAGUAUGUCAUGGACUUGAGAGCAAAACUCCACACAUUAGGGCACUUGUCACGUGAGAAUUUGCUCCAAGCUCAAAAACGUCAACAGCGCCUGUAUAACAGGGGAGCGCAACUUAGACAAUUUUCACCGGGAGAGAAAGUACUUGUGUUACUCCCAACAUCCAGUUCCAAAUUACUCGCCAAGUGGCAAGGACCCUUCGUGGUCACACGACGAGUAGGUGAGGUGGAUUAUGAGGUCAGGCGGUCUGACCGGGGCGGGGCAACACAAAUAUACCACCUCAACCUACUAAAAGGUUGGAGGGAAGCGGAGCCCGUCUCCAUGGUGACGGCGAUAGCGGAGAGCGAGGAGCUGGGGCUGGAGGUUUCCCUCUCCGCUGUGAUAAUCAUCUUACGCUGUCACAGAAAGCAGACGUGGCCAAAUUGCAGCAACAUUUUGCUCACGUUUUCUCUCCCCUGCCAGGCCGCACGACUCUCACCCAGCAUCACAUAGAGACCAGCACGGGCGUGACUGUGAGGUCUUGGCCCUAUAGGCUGCCCGAACACAAACGCAAAGUAGUUCGGGAAGAAUUAAAAGCCAUGUUGGAAUUGGGAGUGAUAGAAGAGUCCCACAGUGCAUGGUGUAGCCCCAUAGUUCUGGUAGGGAAGAAAGAUGGGUCUGUACGGUUCUGUGUAGACUACCGCAAGGUGAAUGAUGUGUCACGUUUUGACACCUAUCCAAUGUCUCGGGUCGACGAGCUCCUGGACCGGUUGGGCACUGCUCGUUUUUUUACGACACUGGAUUUGACUAAGGGCUACUGGCAGAUUCCCUUGUCUCCAGAGUCCAAGGAAAAAACGUCAUUCUCCACUCUGGAAGGGUUAUACCAAUUCGUGACCCUUCCGUUCGGCUUGUUGGGUGCGCCCGCCACAUUUCAGAGACUCAUGGACCGGGUGCUGCAACCGCACACUGCAUAUGCUGCCGCCUAUCUGGAUGAUGUCAUCAUCCAGGGGAACAGCUGGGCGGAGCAUAUGCAGAGAGUGGGAGCGGUACUCGAGUCCCUCAGGCGGGCGGGGCUCACCGCCAACCCGUCGAAGUGCGCGGUUGGCCGGCGGGAGGUACAGUAACUGGGGUACCACUUGGGGGAAGGCCAGGUGCGGCCCCAGGUAGAUAAAACCGCAGCAGUUGCGGCCUGCCCGACCCCGAAGACGAAAAAGGAGGUGAGGCAGUUUUUGGGGCUGGUGGGCUACUACCGGAGGUUUCUCCCCCGGUUUGCAGACCUGACCAGUCCACUAACUGACCUCACCCGGAAAGGUGCCCCAGAUCUGGUCCAGUGGACAGAGCGGUGCCAGCAGGCAUUCGAGAAGGCAGAUGCGUCGGGCAGAGGACUGGGAGCCGUUUUAUCCCAGCAGCGGGGGGGCAGCGACCAUCCGGUCCUGUACAUCAGCAGGAAACUUUCGGAAAGGGAAACCAGAUACAGCACGGUGGGGAGGGAGUGCCUCGCCAUCCGGUGGGCUGUCGGUGCCCUGCGGUACUAUCUGCUGGGACGCCCAUUCAGCCUCUGCUCGGACCACAAGCCCCUCCAGUGGCUCCACCGCAUGAAAGAUCCCAACGCGCGGAUCAACAGGUGGUAUCUCGCUUUACAACCCUACAAUUUCAGAGUGGUCCAUAGGCCGGGAGCGCAGAUGGUCGGCAGACUUCCUCUCCCGCGCUCAGGCGUGGGGAGUAAGUGCGGCCGGGGCCCGGCCUAAGUCUGGCGGUGGAGGUAUGUGGAGGGAGGUUGUGAUUAGCACACUGCAGGUAGGAAGAUCAGCGACCCCGUCUGGGUGGCUGGAGACAGCGCACCCUCAGACGGGGGCGUGGCAUGGGCAGCACGGCGAGACGCAGCUGGCAGUUGAUUAGAUGUCGCAGGUGGUACGCGCUGAUCUAAUCAACUGUUGUCUUUAACAGUAAACGGCCAGCGGAGGAGAAGGGGGCUGCUGUUGGUGAGACUGAAAAAGUCAAGCAGAAAAGCGUGAUCCUGAGCAAAAUUGAAAAAUUAAAACUACUGUCACACCCGAA